UGAGCCGCCGUUGGUAUCUGGCCAAGGG
This 28-nucleotide non-coding RNA is filed under the name Rattus norvegicus (Norway rat). Lineage: Eukaryota; Metazoa; Chordata; Mammalia; Rodentia; Muridae. The record is from RNAcentral.